UGCACAAAUUAAAUACAAACUUGUAUUGAACCUACAUAGGAUAUAAUGUGUACUAUUAUACAAUAGGUAUUGUGUUUAAAAUGUACCUACCAACUUUGUGAGGUUUACGUUAAGGUCAAUAGUUUGUAAGCAUAGUUUUAAAAUCUUAAUAAACAUAAUAUUACUUUAGAUUCUAAGUGGAGUAAAGAAGCUUAUAAUUUUCCAAUUAUUUU
Cinara cedri is the source of this 212-nucleotide non-coding RNA. Lineage: Eukaryota; Metazoa; Arthropoda; Insecta; Hemiptera; Aphididae. The record is from the annotation of a GenBank genome assembly.